GAAUUACUGAUACUUAGAUAAUAAUAAAUCAGAACACAAAGUACGUGGUUACAAUCACGGCUUAAGAUAAGAUACGGAAGGCACUGCAAAAUAAUUAUCGGAUAAUUAUUUUAGUGGUGUGACUGAUAUCUCAAAUGCAUUGAUCGGUCAUUCGCUGACUUUGCUGACGUGACAAUAUAAUCGAUUUAUUCAAUCAAAUCGGUAUUUCAUGUGACAAUAAUUACGACACUGGCAUGCGGAAUAUGUCGGAACAUAUUUUUUAAGUAAUCAAUUAUCGAGAUGUCGCUAUAAAAGUAAAAUCGAAAUUAAGAAAAGGCUAGUAAGGUCAUACUUUGGAAACAAUAGAUGAGGUCAUUGGAAACAUUUUAGAGAGCUGGCCUACAUUCCUCUGGGAAGCCGCCAGAACUUUAAAACCUUAUUUAGAAUUCAGCAAACAACACACUAAAUAGAUAAAUACAUUUUCUUAAUAAACCAGAAAGAAAUAGAUACUUAUUUAAUUAAAGAGGAAGAUGUAAGAUAGGUUUUAGAUUUUACUUUAUUGGAAACAAGAGGAAUAUAAGCUUUAAGCAAAAAAACCUAAAGUCGAAAUUUAAUUGAUCUUUUCGCUAUAAAUGUAUCUGGAUUCCGCAUUUCAUAGAAAUAAAACUGUUUUUUAAAUAAA
Trichoplusia ni (cabbage looper) is the source of this 661-nucleotide long non-coding RNA. RefSeq lists it as uncharacterized. The record is from RefSeq and is a predicted model, not a curated record. Lineage: Eukaryota; Metazoa; Arthropoda; Insecta; Lepidoptera; Noctuidae. The transcript is spliced from 2 exons.